Molecule: non-coding RNA, 185 nt
Filed under: Pseudoxanthomonas dokdonensis
Lineage: Bacteria; Pseudomonadati; Pseudomonadota; Gammaproteobacteria; Lysobacterales; Lysobacteraceae
Description: 6S / SsrS RNA
Rfam family: 6S / SsrS RNA
About the family: E. coli 6S RNA was the first non coding RNA to be sequenced, but its function was unknown until recently. It consists of 184 nucleotides that fold into an extended hairpin structure with a large single-stranded internal bulge. The 6S RNA specifically associates with RNA polymerase holoenzyme containing the sigma70 specificity factor.
Source: Rfam by way of RNAcentral
CGUCCUCUGCUGUGUCCGACAGCGCGCGCAAACAUUCGCCUUGUCCCUUAAUUGCGACCGCGGGGAGGCAACCGAAGCCGGGAGUGCAUGUCUGCCUUGAGCGGAAAGCCCGAUGGCCUCCAAGCCUUCCCACUUGAACCCCGGGUUCAAGGUCGUUUCGCGAGCAUCGCCAUGGCGGAGGACGU